CGAAAUUCUUAAAGAUUUAAAGAUCGGCCCGUGUGUUUUCAUUUUGUGCUGGGCCUGCAAAUUAGGUAACCAGCUAUGCCUCCAGGGAUAAGAAGCUUCUAGGACAGUUCUGUGAGGACAGCUUAUUUCAGCGUCCCAGAGGAAACACACUGGGGGAAUUUAGACCUUAAGUAAAGGAGAAGACUUGUGAAACUGGCAAAUACAGGCAGCUCUUGUGAUGACAAAGACUUCCCCAAGGCUUCUUCUCACCAGUUAAUGGAGACUCAGUGGAUGCAAAGCUUACAACUAUGAAAACAAUACCUGUCUGACCUGGUAAACAGAUCAAUAGAACUGUAGGGCCCCCACAAGAUAUAGCUGAUUCCCAACCCCCGAAUCUGUGAAGGUGACUUUAUUUGGAAGAGAGUCUUUGAAGAUAUAAAUGAGGACCUCAAGAUGAGAUGUUCCUGGAUUUAAGGUCUAAUCCCACAGAGCCACCAAGCACAGCUUUAAUCAUCUGCAUUCUAAGAAGAUGUCUCCAGCUCCUGCCUGUGCUGGGGUCUGGCAUCCAACCGCUCAAGAUCUCCUUUACGAUUCCGUCUCCACUACUGAGGAC
Bos taurus (domestic cattle) is the source of this 592-nucleotide long non-coding RNA. The record is from Ensembl. Lineage: Eukaryota; Metazoa; Chordata; Mammalia; Artiodactyla; Bovidae.